Molecule: long non-coding RNA, 1909 nt
Organism: Gekko japonicus
Lineage: Eukaryota; Metazoa; Chordata; Lepidosauria; Squamata; Gekkonidae
Exons: 3
Source: RefSeq, a predicted model, not a curated record
UUACAUGACGCUCCUAUAUUCUGACAAUUUUCCUGAAACAUAAUGUGAAAAUAAAAUAUUGAGGAAGGGGAUGGGGAAUAUGUGAGGUCCGAUUUGCCAAAUAUCGUCUGUAAGAGCUGCCUGUUUUUCAAGCUAAUGUAGUUAAGACACUUCAGUUUAUUCAUGAAAAAUACUGUGGUUGGGAGGAGGGAACUAUUCACCCUCAAAAUAUAAAAAUCAACACAUUCUCAAAUGCCUUAGUUUUAUUUUUGCAAAGAUUUGGCCUAGAAAUGACCUUGUCUUAUGCAAAAAGCCCCACAUUAGUCUGGUGGCAACUUCACUAUGCCAGAACUUUGACUGGUAUGUCUGGUAGGAAAGCCAAAUGGAGCUGAAAACAUUUUCAGUCGUAAGAAUGUUAACAUUCUGAGUUCUUCAGAGACAACAAUAUUGAUUAAAACUGCUACUGUUUAUAUCACUGUAGGAAUCCAUGUGGAAGUGUCGAAUUUUACAAAUGGCCAUGUUUACAAGACGGUAGUGGAUUGGGGUUUUUCUGUACAAGUGGCUGAUGGAUGGCGGCUAGUAGAAGAUGUGCAACUUCUUUAGUAUUGAACGUCCUUCACAGUAAAAACCAGCAGUCAAAACAUUUCAAACCUCCUUAAGUGGGGAUUUGAGUUGCGAAUCUGAGCUUUGCAACCUCCUCUCUGAAGCACUUUGGAGUCUGCACCUGUAAACAGGCAACAGAACAGCCUCCGUAGCUUCAAAACCGCGCCUGCUGCUUCCCUUCAAUUUCUUGGUGCAGCCUGGACUGCUUGUAAGCACCAUUUUGAAAUGUUAACACACAAUUAGUAUGUUUUUUUGGGAAAUAUCCACAACUGUAGAAUGCAUCUUUCCCUUUCCAUGUCAUGACUGUAGAGCUCUUGUUCAAGUGGAAGAACGCUUGGUUUGAAAUUUGCCCUCACACAGCUUUGUUUAAAACGCAGCGCUGCUGCUUCAGGUACUAAAUCCACUGCCAAGAGUGUUGCUUCUUUACUAUUCUUUUGGAUGGGGUUUUAUUCUGGCUGCCUCCGGUGGUAGACGCUUCUCUUUGGAAAUGUGCUUCUUUGUAGGAAGUUCAAAAAACUCCCCUCUUCCCGCUCCACACACCACCAGGGCCCUUUGUGAUUUGUUGGUCUUGAGGGGUACAGAUGAGACAGGCUGGUUUUUAAUAUUAAAAUACGUCCUUGUGCCAGAAGUACAGGUACCUAUGAACCUCUAACUUUUUCCAGUUAAACAGUACCCUCCUUGGUGCUGUUUUGUUCUCCCCAAAUUUGAGUGUGUACUCUAUGCUGAGGUAAAAUUAAAAUUCUUCCUUUCCUCCAGUAUUUUGGGUUCUCCCCCCCCUCUACUGAAACAUAGUGAAAACCACGGUUUAUGUUAGUUUCCCCUCCUGUUUCCAUCUUCCCCCUGCCACUGGAUGUUCUGUCAUCUUUAGGUUCCUGGCCUGGCUUGGUAUGGGUGGAGCACUCCUUGAACAUUUGGAGUAAUGUUAACAGUGGUUUACAUCACCUUGAUGUAAAUUUCAUUCCCUGAGGGAGGUGGGGAUGUAUUGUGUUAACUGAAAAAUAAAAAUAAUUCCAACCCCCAUUGCUGGGAAGUAUCUCCAGAAGACUAAUUUUCCACCUUCUAACUAGGGAGAGGUAAUUUAUUAAGACCUUGGGGCCCUUACUUUAGAUAGCAAUCUUUACUCCCUUAUACCUCCUGUUAACUAUCUCCUCAGAAUAAGUAAGAUUUAGUUCCUGGUGAUGACUGCCAUACCAGAAGGUCCAUGUAAUUCAAGCCUUUUCCGUAAUCUAAUAUUGCACAGUCUUACAAAAAGACUAACCAUAACAGAAUUUCUUAUCAAGGUCCACCAUGUUGGAAGGUCAUACCAAGGUACUACCAUGGUGGAACA